AUUGUGGCCUCUUAGAGAGUGGAGAUGCCUUUCCAUUGUGAGAGGGGGAGAAGAGAAAAACAACAACAACAAAAGGAAGGGGCCGAGCUGAGCUGGCAGACACAUCAUCCCUUAUUAUCAGACUGCUGGAAAGCCCAGGACCCUCUGGACAUCUCCCUGCGGGGGACACAGAUGAGUAGGUCAUACUUCUGGAAUGUGGACUGGGACAGGUGGAGGCGGACGUUUAGGUUAAAAAGGCCCUAUGGCGUCAUCCCUGUCCCCUCUGCUGCACAGUUUCCUUCAAGACUGUCUGCUGGCAAAUCUCCGAAAAGAACUCUGGAUCCUGCACUAUGUUUUGUUUGGCCGCAGUGAUUAUUUUCAUAGAAAGAACAUCUUUAUUGAUAAAACUUUGUCUGUUGUCCAGGGCUGUUUUGCUCGCGUUUUUGUUUGGUUUGCCAGUCCAUGGCGAGAACUCUGUCUCCCUCCUGACUUGUGAAAGAUGCAUAAUUGUAAGAAUGAUAUCUUUGUUUUUGAAGAAAAUAAUGUUUGUUUUUGGUGAGGCAAUUAGUGAAACUGAAAAAUGAAAGCAAGAAAAUGCCAAAAUAAGUUCCCAUUUUUAAGGUUUGAAAUGAUGAUUUGUGACAUAUUUUGAGGAUCUUCAUUCGCCCUCUUUUCUUUCAUUAUGUCUUUGUCGGGAAAUAGAAUAUCCAGUCACAUAAAAUAGUCUGAAAGAAUCUGCAAAAGUAAUUUAAAUAUGUGAAUCUGAACUCAAGACUUAAUAAUUCAAGACUAUUAUAAACUCUAUGGUAAAUUACCUAUUUUAGCCUUAUUUGUGUGCUACUAUCUGCUUGUGUAUCAAUUGUGUGUUUUUGUAUGGUUUUGUCUGCAACAUUUAAUGCUGCAAAGUUUGCCAGAUCUCCCUUGCAAAAGAGAUAUCCAACCUCAUUGGAAUGUAACUGCUUCAAUAAAAAUUAAGUAUGAAAAUAGAUUAAAGAAAUGUACCAUUUAGGAAGAAAUCCACCCGCACCCUACUCUCCCCCUCUCUGUCUCUCAGUGCGGUUAUAAUACGGCUGAGCAGCUGUCAGAGCAGUUACAGGUGUUAAAAGAGUCCAGAGCUCAUGCAUUGGUACAUUUUGUCACACAAAGGUGGCUCUCAGCUCUGGGAGCUGAGCAGCUCUCAUUGUUUAUUAGAGUGGCGGACUGCAGGUGGCCCAACCUAUAGGACUAAUAACUGACAUUAUUAAUUAACACACAGCACACCGCUACAGGAGGGAGAUGUAUGAAACUAUCAGCAAAACCUUUUAUUUUCGAAAGUUUUAAAAAUUUGUUUCAGCAAGGAGGUCAAAUAAAGAUAAACUGUUAUUUGCCAUGAUGGCCUGGCAGUAAUUGCUACUAGGCAGUAGUUGAUUCACUGAGGACACGUGGGACAAACUGAAGGCUUGUAAGCAUCAGUUUGUCUGGAGGAACAUCUCCCUGUUCGACCUGGCCUCAGACAGCAAGCUAACUCUCGCUUUAAUGAUAAUAAUAAGGCUAACAUGGUAUAGCCUCUCUCCCUUCGAGCCCACAAUUACUAGCCUGGCACACUGCGUACGCACACAGUCUGUCUGGGGAGCAAGCCACUGGAUAAUUCUUGGUUACCUGUCGCAGCCACUUCUCACAAACACACUUAACAUACAAAUACCAGAAGGGAAAAAAAGCACACAUGCGUUCAGGAACAUGCACACACUGCACAUAUGAAUUAGCCAAACAUGCAGGGAGCCAAACGUGGAUUUGCAGCUAAUUUUCCUUCCCAAAAAUGUCUAGUUAAGAUGAAACCACUGCUGUUACCUCAUCUCUAGGGGUCAUUCAAAACCCCAGAGGGUGUAUGCAUUUGGUGAGUUACAGGAAAUUACUGAUGAUGUUCUGUGUUAAUUGACAAUAAAACAAAGGCAAUUUU
Dicentrarchus labrax (European seabass) is the source of this 1915-nucleotide long non-coding RNA. RefSeq lists it as uncharacterized. The transcript is spliced from 2 exons. Lineage: Eukaryota; Metazoa; Chordata; Actinopteri; Moronidae. The record is from RefSeq and is a predicted model, not a curated record.